CACGCCGUAAACGAUGAGUGCUAGGUGUUAGGGGGUUUCCGCCCCUUAGUGCUGAAGUUAACGCAUUAAGCACUCCGCCUGGGGAGUACGGCCGCAAGGCUGAAACUCAAAAGAAUUGACGGGGGCCCGCACAAGCGGUGGAGCAUGUGGUUUAAUUCGAAGCAACGCGAAGAACCUUACCAGGUCUUGACAUCCUCUGACCACCCUAGAGAUAGGGCUUUCCCUUCGGGGACAGAGUGACAGGUGG
This 247-nucleotide ribosomal RNA is filed under the name uncultured Ornithinibacillus sp. RNAcentral's name for it is "partial 16S ribosomal RNA". It matches the Rfam family "Bacterial small subunit ribosomal RNA", at positions 796 to 1041 of the family's 1533-position model. The record is from RNAcentral. Lineage: Bacteria; Bacillati; Bacillota; Bacilli; Caryophanales; Bacillaceae.